AAAUUAAAUGCUAAUUAGCUGUUUAUGUGGCUAUCAUAAAGAACUACAAAUGCCAUGAUAAUUUGGAGGAGACUGCCGAAUCAAGGCAAAGUUGGGCAAUCCUCCUCUCAAAAUACUGCAUCAUGAAGGCUUCCUGGGUGGACCUCUGAGCAUGCCCCAACCCCAGGCUCAGGACGAGCAGUGUCAACAUCCAGCAGGUGGCGCCACAUUAUCUGGAGAAGACGGAAGUUUUCAUUUUCUCCUGAGGACCUGCAUGCCAGCUGUAUCCAGUCCAGUUCCUGCAGGAGACUGUGGUCUGUGCUUCACAACCUGUCUGGCCAGAGAAAGACCAACUCCCUCAGUAGCAGCAGCGUUUCCAUUCCUUCUUCAAAGCGCUAGCUGCUGUGCUUCUGUUUACAAUGAGGGCGAACACAGCUCUGUAUGGGUUAGCGCCACACAAUUAUGCCCACCGGGAUACAAUAGUGCAGAAGCAAUCACAGGAUGGCAAGGUGAGAGGGAGAGAAGGUUGCAUGGGGAUGGAACACGCACCAGAGACAUGUCAGAUGCUAGGGUGGUAGUUGACUGAGUGAACCCAUGGUAACCAGAUUCAGACCUCUCAAACAUGAUCACUACCUACAGUUCCUACGCCAAACAGGACCUAUUGUUCAAAACCCAAUAGAAAAGUAGGCCUGUAUAUCAUGUGUGUGGGGUGAAUCAUAAUGAACAUGUGAAAAUGCAUCCCAGUGCCCUGUGCCUGAAGAAAUUGAUGGGAAAUAUUGUCUCAUUGUGAUAAUGGUAUAAAUGAAUCACAAAAUGAUCAAGGUUUUUCUCUUUCCUCUGCUAUAUUAUUAAACUAUGAAUGCUGAUUAAUUUGCAUAUUCAAGAAAUUAUCAUCAGACAUCAUUCAACAGAAAUACUUAAAUAUCUUUUAAACUGUGAAUAUUCAGAUCAUAGUAAAUGGCAGGCCUUUAUCUUAGCGUAUUGUUCUUGUAGUGAAUCUCUGAAGAAAACAACUACCUACUGUGUCUUAUUAAA
Molecule: long non-coding RNA, 1014 nt
Organism: Oncorhynchus nerka (sockeye salmon)
Lineage: Eukaryota; Metazoa; Chordata; Actinopteri; Salmoniformes; Salmonidae
Exons: 4
Source: RefSeq, a predicted model, not a curated record